GCAGUAGCCGCGGGAAUACAGAGGGUGCGAGCGUUAAUCGGAUUUACUGGGCGUAAAGCGUGCGUAGGCGGCUUCUUAAGUCGGAUGUGAAAUCCCUGAGCUUAACUUAGGAAUUGCAUUCGAUACUGGGAAGCUAGAGUAUGGGAGAGGAUGGUAGAAUUCCAGGUGUAGCGGUGAAAUGCGUAGAGAUCUGGAGGAAUACCGAUGGCGAAGGCAGCCAUCUGGCCUAAUACUGACGCUGAGGUACGAAAGCAUGGGGAGCAAACAGGAUUAGAUACCAGCGUAGUCCCUGUCUCUUAUAC
This 302-nucleotide ribosomal RNA is filed under the name uncultured bacterium. Its description in RNAcentral is "partial 16S ribosomal RNA". It matches the Rfam family "Bacterial small subunit ribosomal RNA", at positions 508 to 807 of the family's 1533-position model. The record is from RNAcentral.